GGGUAUGGCUCAGUGGUAGAGUGCUCGCCUAGCACAUGUGAGGCCCUGGGUUCGAUCCUUAGCACCACA
This 69-nucleotide transfer RNA is filed under the name Marmota monax (woodchuck). Its description in RNAcentral is "tRNA.Ala". The record is from RNAcentral. Lineage: Eukaryota; Metazoa; Chordata; Mammalia; Rodentia; Sciuridae.